AACUUCACGUGCUGGACAGUUUGUAACAGCACUUGCAGAGCAGAAUGCCUCCAGAGGAAUAUUACAUUUCAGAGACAGAAACAGAAGAAAACAUUGCUUCCAGCAGACAUCCACAGAGACAGAUUCAGAAGUCCCUGUGAUGAUUUCAGAAUUAUGGAGAACCUUGAGGGCAUUCCCUGCCAUUCAGCAUUCCAGUAACUGCCAUGGGGAUGGAUAACUACAGUACUACAGAUCACAAGAUGUAGUAGCAAAGAGUGAGAAGUGAACUCAUCUCCUGUACCAACCAGAAUUAGAUCUAAAAAGCAAGGUUCACAAAGUUGAGGAGCAUGAUAGUUUUGCCUAAGGACAAGGAGGCAAAGUUCUCACCAAGGUUCACCUGUACUACUGAACAUGGCAAUGGAAAGGGCUUUCCAUCCUCAUCCAUCAUUUCCAGAUCUAUUUCCUAAGAUGAGGCCAGAACAGGGACAGGCAGCAUUUGCAGGCCAUGGGGCAGCACCCUGGGGAACUGGCUGACAGUUUUCCACCUGGACAAAGUAUUUGGGAAGCUGAAAUGGAUGGAUGGAUGCCUCCUCCCUUACAGUGCAACCCGAGAUUUGCCUCUUGAUCUAUUAUAUUUAAGCUCAUGUUAUGGUAAGGGGAAAUCACAUUCAAGCUAUAUUUUAUUGAGCUGUCACAGGAAGGAUUGGGACUUUUAUCUGCUUCUUGUGAUGUAGUUAAAAGGAGAAAAUACUGCAGCAUUUCACCAUAGUCUCAGUAAUAAUUACAUUCCAAUUGAGUAAAGUGAGCACAGUAGGUAAAAAUACCACACUGUAACAGAAAAUUUGUUUCUUAAUCCUGAAGUCAGGUUUCACACUUUCAUUCUCAAGUUUUUCACAGCAAGAUUAACACAGACAGUAAAUGAUGGUGUUUCCUGCCAAAUCAACCCCAGGAAAUACAGGAAUGCCAGUCAUUGCAAAUUACACCUCACCGGAUUUCCAGCACAAAACAGAGGCAGUAAAUUCCCUAUUCCCUGUUUAUCACAAAUUAACACCAGUGCCACUGAAGCUUGACCAGGAAAGGCAAAUAACCCUCCCCAGCAGAAAGGAACUAGAAGGACAUCUGUGCUAAUGCUUUGCCUUAUCUCCAUACUCAUUAUUUAAACUUAGAAUGAAAUGAGUUGUAAGAUUUGGUUUUGUUCAGAGAUAUUAGCAUCAGGGCAGUUUAUCCAGGCUCACGAGGUGACUUAGAAAUAAUUUGGGAUAAGGGACCUCAGCUUAAUUCCUGGGAAAACAGAAGUGGAAGACCACUGGAACUGUUCUGCUUCUUUCCUUCUCCAACCAAAGAGGGACAUUGGAGCCACCACUGCCCUGGAGCACAGGGCUCUGCAGCCCAGCUCCUGCACAGCCCCAGCUGCAGCAGCAAGCGACCUGGCCAAGGGCACAGAGCUGCAGGUGUUACCCUGUGCUGCUUUCAAACAGUAGCAAGCCCCAGCUGAAGAGGGCAGAAGUAUCACCAAGCGAACCCUUUAAAUGAACAGUCUCAGCAAACAGGCAAUCCAUAGGAAACUUCAAUCAUUAAUUAAGGAUCACGGCCUUUGCCUGG
This is a long non-coding RNA of Gallus gallus (chicken), 1581 nucleotides long. The record is from Ensembl. NCBI's taxonomy places the organism in Eukaryota, Metazoa, Chordata, Aves, Galliformes, Phasianidae.